RNAcentral lists this long non-coding RNA (1069 nucleotides) under Zea mays. RNAcentral describes it as "long non-coding RNA (ZMAY_LNC003513)". The record is from RNAcentral. Lineage: Eukaryota; Viridiplantae; Streptophyta; Magnoliopsida; Poales; Poaceae.
CUUCUCAGAGGACAGUCAGACAAGACGUACGACCCUACAGUAUUGGUAGGCCGCAAGGGAACCCCUUUCCCACCCACACAAACAAGAUGGCGGGCCUACAGUUGAACCUCGACCUGAAUGAAUGGCAGAGCAUACUGUAUUCAAAUAAGGACAGAUAUGCGACUGUGUAACCAGAUGCCAAGAUUGAAUGAAACAAGAUAAAUACCUUGAUUAGAACAUGAUCAUUCAAAGGCUUCAUGUCUUUCAUUCACACCAUCGGUUUCUAAGAUGAAUAUAGUGCCAUCCUGACAUCCUCUUUGAGAACCAGAUGUCUGGAAUCAUUCAACGCCGACCUCAGUUCCAGCGUACUUUUGAAUAUACAGCUUGAACUCCAACCUGAAGUAGUAGCAAAUGCGCAUGUCAGCACGCGGGUUCUCUUUUCUUCCCAACAAAAAGGCAAAGUUUGCUUGUAUUAAGAACUAUGACACCACAACACAUAUACAAAUAAUUCAGAUGGGAACAGAAGUAAACGUGUAGGUUUGUGGGUCAAAUAGGCAGUACAAGUGCUUUGACAGCUACAUCUUGCAGUACCAGUAUGGCUAUAACUAGACUAGACUGGUUAUAUUACAAAUAGGUAAGGUAUAAAGCUCACUCUGUUUGUUUAAGAUGUGAUUUUCUUACUCAUAAACUGAGAUAAAAUGACCGCACAUGGCUUUCAAGUAAAACCUUUUCUUUUUCUGGCGCGGCCAAUUCUAAAGUGGGACAAGGGAUACAAAAUACUAAUGGAAUCAGUGAAUAGCUACGCCUGCUCACAUGGGAAUAUGUACCCAUAUAUGAUAAAGCUGUAUUGAAAACAACAGGCACCUAAGAUCUGACAUGUUCGCAAAGAACAUACCUGAAUGCUGACAUCAACUAUCUUAUCUCCACUUACCCUUCCUUCUGCAACAGCAACUACCUCACUGCCCUGAGGUAUGGACUGAGCAGUCGUAGGAUGCAAAAUUCCACCAGUUGUCUUCUCUCUUCUCCUCAGAACAGUUUAUCUUUACAAGCACUCUAUCAGACAAGGGCUUAACCGCUUAAGUGUUGUAUA